GUGGUUAUAAGAACGCUCCCAUACCACUACACAAUAAAUAAACAGAUACAAGACUGGUUCUGGGUCUGUGUUGAAUGAGUUGCUAGGCCUCCACACUGCUGAGUUACAGAGAGAAAGAGGGGAACAGAAGAAUAAGAUGAGGAUUGGAGAGAAGUGGAGAUGCUCUCUAGCGUUUGUUAUCAUGAUAUGGAUAGUGGAGAUACUACCAGACAUGAACGUUUGUACAGCUGAAUCAGUGAAGGGCAACAAUAGUAGCUACCACUCAGAGCACUGCAGCGGCUCCCUCCAUGACUGCCAAUUCCCAGAUAUGGAGUGGCUGAUGGAUUCAGAAAUAAAUAGGAUGCUUGCUGAUCAGAAAAGUGGUAUUUAUAUAAGUAAGGCGGCCGCCGGAAACGCUAAGGAACCGGCUGUUGCUUGUGGGCGUGGUAAAGCUUAUAAAAGGUGCGUCCCCGAUAAAAAUCCAGUUCAUCGUGAUGAAGAAAAUUGUGAAGGCCUCUACAAUAAAAAUCGUGCAUGCUCCCACAGCUAACCACAGCAGUAAUUUCUUCUUCUGCAGGUUACCCUCGAACCUUCCAACAUCCGGAUAGAGCUUUAAAUUUUGUUGAACAUAGAUAGUUUAGGUGCUACUAGUACUCUCACACAAAGCGCAAACAUUACUAGGGCAGGAGAUGUGGUUGUGGCAAAUGGAAACCCUGAGCCCUGCAGAAUGGCUUAAUCAAAUAGGUGGCAGAAAAAAAGUUUGAGGAGAGUCGAUCAGUAUUUACAUACUCCAGGCUGAUACUUUAUCUAGAAAGGCAAGCAACAAAAUCAAAGGCAUUGAGAGCUUAAAUUAAUCUUGAGAGUUAUAGGAACCAAAGCUUUCAUAUAUGAUUGUUUCUUCAUCUCUCAUUAACUACAAAAAGGAUGAAUCUGAGAUGAAAUCCCAACUUAAUCUGAAUGGAUAAAUUGAAACAAACCCUCAGCAAAUUAAGAUUUGGAAUUGAAAUUUGGAAGGCUGUUUUUAAGAUUUAAGUUCCAAGCUUGAAUGAUUUUGGGAACUAUGGUGAGUGAACAAGUAAUGAAAACCUUUGCCACUUCAGAACAACUUAUUUAAAGCAACUCCAUCAACAAAUUUCAAGCCUGAUGAAAUACACUUACACUUUUUUCCAAGUUGAAAUUUCAAAGGCAUUAAACCCACUCUUAAAUACCAAAACAACCAGCAGACUGACAGAUUAAAUGUCGAAAGGACGAUAACUUUAAUGGAGGCAGUUGAUUUUGAAAUCAAGACAUCGAUGACCCGUUUGGUUUCAUCGGAUACGAGAUUUAUUGCAUUUCACCAACUACACAUACAAGGCGACGAAGGCAAACGAGCUGCAAGACGAGAGAAAAGAAGAGGAGGAGAUGGGAGUUGGAAUGAAGAGAGGUUCUGCACUGACCCUUUUUGUUGUGAUGAUGCUCCUUCACACAAAAACAUGUAGAGCUGCUACUUCACCGUUGAGGAAGAGCAACACCACCACCAUUAUCAAUGGGUGCAGUGGCAAUCUCCAAAAAUGCCUCAUAGGGGACGUAGACUCGGAGGAGUUGUUGCUGGACUUGGAAACGAGCAGCAGUCUGGUGCUUCUUAAUGUGGGAAAAUUUCUAGCUCUGAACACCAACGAGCCAAAGAAACCAGCUGUGCCUUGUGGCAAUAUAGAACUUGCUUCACCCAAAAAAAUAAAGUCCGAAAACAGCAGCAUUGUGGUAUUUACACUCGUAGAUGCUGAUGCAGAUGUUGAUGCUGGGCGUUAUGCCUCUCUCUCUCUCUGUUUCUAGCUAGCUUCCUUAGAAAAUUAUGAGUUCCUUGAAAUGUUUGUUCUUCAGUUCAAUGAUAUCUGAUGUAUUAAUAUUGUAUAAAAUUAGGGAUGUUAGUAAUUCCGCUAGUGCAAGAUGACUCUAAUUCUGUCUUCUUCCCUUACCAAUGUGCCACAAUUGAUGAUUGUUUCAUUCCAAGGUCAUGUAUUGAUGUUAUAUGAUUAUUCACUGAAAAGUUGUCUAGUUAUUGGCCA
Vitis vinifera (wine grape) is the source of this 2024-nucleotide long non-coding RNA. RefSeq lists it as uncharacterized. The record is from RefSeq and is a predicted model, not a curated record. Lineage: Eukaryota; Viridiplantae; Streptophyta; Magnoliopsida; Vitales; Vitaceae. The transcript has 2 exons.